Molecule: ribosomal RNA, 261 nt
Filed under: uncultured bacterium
Lineage: Bacteria
Description: partial 16S ribosomal RNA
Rfam family: Bacterial small subunit ribosomal RNA
Source: RNAcentral
CCGGCGCACGGGUGAGUAACACGUAUCCAACCUGCCGUCUACUCUUGGACAGCCUUCUGAAAGGAAGAUUAAUACAAGAUGGCAUCAUGAGUCCGCAUGUUCACAUGAUUAAAGGUAUUCCGGUAGACGAUGGGGAUGCGUUCCAUUAGAUAGUAGGCGGGGUAACGGACCCACCUAGUCUUCGAUGGAUAGGGGUUCUGAGAGGAAGGUCCCCCACAUUGGAACUGAGACACGGUCCAAACUCCUACGGGAGGCAGCAUG